Molecule: ribosomal RNA, 466 nt
Filed under: uncultured bacterium
Lineage: Bacteria
Description: partial 16S ribosomal RNA
Rfam family: Bacterial small subunit ribosomal RNA
Source: RNAcentral
GAUGAACGCUGGCGGCGUGCUUAACACAUGCAAGUCGAACGAUGAAGCCCAGCUUGCUGGGUGGAUUAGUGGCGAACGGGUGAGUAACACGUGAGUAACCUGCCCUUAACUCUGGGAUAGGCCUGGGAAACUGGGUCUAAUACCGGAUAGGAGCGUCCACCGCAUGGUGGGUGUUGGAAAGAUUUAUCGGUUUUGGAUGGACUCGCGGCCUAUCAGCUUGUUGGUGAGGUAAUGGCUCACCAAGGCGACGACGGGUAGCCGGCCUGAGAGGGUGACCGGCCACACUGGGACUGAGACACGGCCCAGACUCCUACGGGAGGCAGCAGUGGGGAAUAUUGCACAAUGGGCGCAAGCCUGAUGCAGCGACGCCGCGUGAGGGAUGACGGCCUUCGGGUUGUAAACCUCUUUCAGUAGGGAAGAAGCGAAAGUGACGGUACCUGCAGAAGAAGCACCUGCUAACUACGUG